CUUAAAGGAAUUGACGGGGACCCGCACAAGCAGCGGAGCGUGUGGUUUAAUUCGUUGCUACACGAAGAACCUUACCUGGUUUGACAUAUAGGUUGUAGGGAACUGAAAAGGACGACCCUUCGGGAGCCUAUACAGGUGUUGCAUGGCUGUCGUCAGCUCGUGUCGUGAGAUGUUCGGUUAAGUCCGCUAACGAGCGCAACCCUCGUCGUAUGUUAUAUGUGUCAUACGAGACUGCCGGUAAAAGCCGGAGGAAGGUGAGGAUGAUGUCAAGUCAGCAUGACCUUUAUAUCCAGGGCUACACACACGCUACAAUGGUCUGUACAAUGGGUAGCCAAGCCGCGAGGCGGAGCCAAUCCUGAAAGCAGGCCUCAGUUCAGAUUGCAGUCUGCAACUCGACUGCAUGAAGCCGGAGUUGCUAGUAACCGCAGGUCAGCAAUACUGCGGUGAAUACGUUCCCGGGUCUU
Molecule: ribosomal RNA, 464 nt
Filed under: uncultured Anaerolineaceae bacterium
Lineage: Bacteria; Bacillati; Chloroflexota; Anaerolineae; Anaerolineales; Anaerolineaceae
Description: bacterial SSU rRNA
Rfam family: Bacterial small subunit ribosomal RNA
Source: RNAcentral